AGCAGUGGGGAAUUUUGGACAAUGGGCGAAAGCCUGAUCCAGCAAUGCCGCGUGAGUGAAGUAGGCCUUCGGGUUGUAAAGCUCUUUUGUCAGGGAAGAAACGGUGAGAGCUAAUAUCUCUUGCUAAUGACGGUACCUGAAGAAUAAGCACCGGCUAACUACGUGCCAGCAGCCGCGGUAAUACGUAGGGUGCAAGCGUUAAUCGGAAUUACUGGGCGUAAAGCGUGCGCAGGCGGUUUUGUAAGUCUGAUGUGAAAUCCCCGGGCUCAACCUGGGAAUUGCAUUGGAGACUGCAAGGCUAGAAUCUGGCAGAGGGGGGUAGAAUUCCACGUGUAGCAGUGAAAUGCGUAGAUAUGUGGAGGAACACCGAUGGCGAAGGCAGCCCCCUGGGUCAAGAUUGACGCUCAUG
This 409-nucleotide ribosomal RNA is filed under the name uncultured bacterium. RNAcentral's name for it is "bacterial SSU rRNA". It matches the Rfam family "Bacterial small subunit ribosomal RNA", at positions 350 to 751 of the family's 1533-position model. The record is from RNAcentral.